GAUGAACGCUGGCGGCGUGCCUAAUACAUGCAAGUCGAGCGAACAGACGAGGAGCUUGCUCCUCUGACGUUAGCGGCGGACGGGUGAGUAACACGUGGAUAACCUACCUAUAAGACUGGGAUAACUUCGGGAAACCGGAGCUAAUACCGGAUAAUAUAUUGAACCGCAUGGUUCAAUAGUGAAAGACGGUUUUGCUGUCACUUAUAGAUGGAUCCGCGCCGCAUUAGCUAGUUGGUAAGGUAACGGCUUACCAAGGCGACGAUGCGUAGCCGACCUGAGAGGGUGAUCGGCCACACUGGAACUGAGACACGGUCCAGACUCCUACGGGAGGCAGCAGUAGGGAAUGUUCCGCAAUGGGCGAAAGCCUGACGGAGCAACGCCGCGUGAGUGAUGAAGGUCUUCGGAUCGUAAAACUCUGUUAUUAGGGAAGAACAAAUGUGUAAGUAACUAUGCACGUCUUGACGGUACCUAAUCAGAAAGCCACGGCUAACUACGUG
This 497-nucleotide ribosomal RNA is filed under the name uncultured bacterium. RNAcentral describes it as "partial 16S ribosomal RNA". It matches the Rfam family "Bacterial small subunit ribosomal RNA", at positions 28 to 507 of the family's 1533-position model. The record is from RNAcentral.